UCGGGAAUUUUGGGCAAUGGGCGAAAGCCUGACCCAGCAACGCCGCGUGAGGGAUGAAGUAUUUCGGUAUGUAAACCUCGAAAGAAUGGGAAGAAUAAAUGACGGUACCAUUUAUAAGCUCCGGCUAACUACGUGCCAGCAGCCGCGGUAAUACGUAGGGAGCAAGCGUUGUUCGGAUUUACUGGGCGUAAAGGGCGCGUAGGCGGCGCGGUAAGUCACUUGUGAAAUCUCUGAGCUUAACUCAGAACGGCCAAGUGAUACGGCUGUGCUAGAGUGCGGAAGAGGCAACCGGAAUUCUUGGUGUAGCGGUGAAAUGCGUAGAUAUCAAGAGGAACACCUGAGGCGAAGGCGGGUUGCUGGGCCGACACUGACGCUGAUGCGCGAAAGCCAGGGGAGCAA
Molecule: ribosomal RNA, 399 nt
Filed under: uncultured bacterium
Lineage: Bacteria
Description: bacterial SSU rRNA
Rfam family: Bacterial small subunit ribosomal RNA
Source: RNAcentral